CAGACAUUGCAAUAAAUAUUAAUGUCAUGGCAGGCUUCAUAUAUGUUGCAAAGCUGCAAUCAGGUAAAGGCAAUUGCAGCCAGAAAUGUUUAUGGCAUUGAAAUUUUCAGAAGAAAAUGGCCAGAAAAAUAAAGUAUACUUGUAAAAUGAUGGCAAACAACACGGAUAAUGAUCACAAAUGCUCAAUCAAUAAUCUGGUGACCUGGGUAAAUUCAAAAAUAAAAUGAUUAAAAGGCAUAAAACAAUGGAGGCAGAUUUAAAGAACCACAGUAACUUGAAAAGUUAGGUAUACUAUUGUGCUCUAGUAACUUAGAAAAGCUAGAUAUAAAAUUGUGCUUUACUCUAGAACAUAUGUAUACAAGUGUAUAUGGAAGUAUGCAUGUACACAUACAUGGAUAUGUGUGCGUAGAUAUGCAUGUAUUAGUACAAGAUGAAAGCAAUACAGCUUGAACCAGAAUUAUAAUAUUUAGUUAUUCCAUGAUCAAACCAGAAUUAUAAUAUUUAGUUUUUCCAUGAUCAAUACUAACUCCUCGUCAACCCAAAGUAAGAAUUAAAAGAGGAGAGCCCAAUAAGCUAACAAGGUAAGCUUAUCAAGCACAACAAGGCUUCAUAAUAGUUUUACUGUGGAUAAAACCCUUGUGAUUCAUAGCACAUGCGCACAAAUCUCAGAAAUAUAACUUGUUUGUCAUAUUACCUAGUCUAGAUUUCAGCAAGAUCAAGACAUAAAAGUUAACAAAUAACAAUUUAAGAGUGAAAGUUGGACAUAUUAACAAACUUUCAAGUCAGAUACGUCCACUUCCAUCUUAAAGUCAUGAUCACCAUAAGCAGCUCUAUUCUUGGCCUUAGCUUUCCGCUAGCCAUUACAUAAAUAGUCUCUCAAAACCUUGGCCAAAUCCUCACUUCUUGCAGAAUGAUAAAAUGCUACCAUUAAACUAAGAAAG
This 941-nucleotide unclassified non-coding RNA is filed under the name Hevea brasiliensis (rubber tree). The record is from RNAcentral. Lineage: Eukaryota; Viridiplantae; Streptophyta; Magnoliopsida; Malpighiales; Euphorbiaceae.